Molecule: ribosomal RNA, 253 nt
Filed under: uncultured bacterium
Lineage: Bacteria
Description: partial 16S ribosomal RNA
Rfam family: Bacterial small subunit ribosomal RNA
Source: RNAcentral
UACGAAGGGGGCUAGCGUUGUUCGGAAUUACUGGGCGUAAAGCGCACGUAGGCGGACAUUUAAGUCAGGGGUGAAAUCCCGGAGCUCAACUCCGGAACUGCCUUUGAUACUGGGUGUCUUGAGUGUGGAAGAGGUGAGUGGAAUUCCGAGUGUAGAGGUGAAAUUCGUAGAUAUUCGCAAGAACACCAGUGGCGAAGGCGGCUCACUGGCCCGGUACUGACGCUGAGGUGCGAAAGCGUGGGGAGCAAACAGG